Unclassified non-coding RNA from Aotus nancymaae (Ma's night monkey), 100 nucleotides. It matches the Rfam family "Y RNA". Rfam says of the family: Y RNAs are components of the Ro ribonucleoprotein particle (Ro RNP), in association with Ro60 and La proteins. The record is from Ensembl. NCBI's taxonomy places the organism in Eukaryota, Metazoa, Chordata, Mammalia, Primates, Aotidae.
GGCCGGUCCAAGUAUGAUGGUGUCUAUAACUGAUCACGACUCUGGUUACAAAUGUCUUUGUUCUUUCUCCAUUGUCACUGCUUCAAUUAACUAGUUGAAA